UAUAGUUCUCCACCACCACCAUAUUACUCACCCUCACCUAAAGUAGAUUACAAGUCUCCACCACCACCGUAUGUUUACAGCUCCCCACCACCACCAUACUAUUCACCUUCUCCAAAGCCCACAUACAAAUCACCACCACCUCCAUAUGUUUACAAUUCUCCACCACCACCAUACUACUCACCAUCCCCUAAGGUCGAAUACAAAUCUCCACCACCUCCAUACGUCUAUAGCUCUCCACCCCCACCAUACUACUCACCCUCACCUAAAGUAGAUUAUAAGUCUCCACCACCACCGUAUGUUUACAACUCUCCACCACCACCAUACUAUUCACCUUCUCCAAAACCCACAUACAAGUCCCCACCACCACCAUAUAUUUACAGCUCUCCACCACCACCAUACUAUUCUCCUUCUCCUAAACCAGUAUACAAAUCUCCACCACCACCAUACGUCUAUUCCUCUCCACCACCACCAUACUAUUCACCUUCUCCUAAACCAGCAUACAAAUCUCCACCACCACCGUAUGUUUAUAGCUCUCCACCUCCUCCAUACUACUCGCCUUCUCCUAAACCCAUAUACAAGUCUCCACCACCACCGUACGUCUACAACUCUCCUCCACCACCAUACUACUCUCCUUCUCCAAAACCGGCAUACAAAUCUCCACCACCACCAUACGUAUACAGCUUUCCACCUCCUCCAUACUACUCGCCUUCUCCUAAACCCGUAUACAAGUCUCCACCACCACCAUACGUCUACAACUCUCCUCCACCACCAUACUACUCUCCUUCUCCAAAACCGGCAUACAAAUCUCCACCACCACCAUACGUAUACAGCUCUCCAC
RNAcentral lists this long non-coding RNA (838 nucleotides) under Arabidopsis thaliana (thale cress). RNAcentral describes it as "long non-coding RNA (ATHA_LNC000349)". The record is from RNAcentral. Lineage: Eukaryota; Viridiplantae; Streptophyta; Magnoliopsida; Brassicales; Brassicaceae.